CGAAUGCUGACAUAAGUAACGAUAAAGCGGGUGAAAAGCCCGCUCGCCGGAAGACCAAGGGUUCCUGUCCAACGUUAAUCGGGGCAGGGUGAGUCGACCCCUAAGGCGAGGCCGAAAGGCGUAGUCGAUGGGAAACAGGUUAAUAUUCCUGUACUUGGUGUUACUGCGAAGGGGGGACGGAGAAGGCUAUGUUGGCCGGGCGACGGUUGUCCCGGUUUAAGCGUGUAGGCUGGUUUUCCAGGCAAAUCCGGAAAAUCAAGGCUGAGGCGUGAUGACGAGGCACUACGGUGCUGAAGCAACAAAUGCCCUGCUUCCAGGAAAAGCCUCUAAGCAUCAGGUAACAUCAAAUCGUACCCCAAACCGACACAGGUGGUCAGGUAGAGAAUACCAAGGCGCUUGAGAGAACUCGGGUGAAGGAACUAGGCAAAAUGGUGCCGUAACUUCGGGAGAAGGCACGCUGAUAUGUAGGUGAAGCGACUUGCUCGUGGAGCUGAAAUCAGUCGAAGAUACCAGCUGGCUGCAACUGUUUAUUAAAAACACAGCACUGUGCAAACACGAAAGUGGACGUAUACGGUGUGACGCCUGCCCGGUGCCGGAAGGUUAAUUGAUGGGGUUAGCGGUAACGCGAAGCUCUUGAUCGAAGCCCCGGUAAACGGCGGCCGUAACUAUAACGGUCCUAAGGUAGCGAAAUUCCUUGUCGGGUAAGUUCCGACCUGCACGAAUGGCGUAAUGAUGGCCAGGCUGUCUCCACCCGAGACUCAGUGAAAUUGAACUCGCUGUGAAGAUGCAGUGUACCCGCGGCAAGACGGAAAGACCCCGUGAACCUUUACUAUAGCUUGACACUGAACAUUGAGCCUUGAUGUGUAGGAUAGGUGGGAGGCUUUGAAGUGUGGACGCCAGUCUGCAUGGAGCCGACCUUGAAAUACCACCCUUUAAUGUUUGAUGUUCUAACGUUGGCCCGUAAUCCGGGUUGCGGACAGUGUCUGGUGGGUAGUUUGACUGGGGCGGUCUCCUCCUAAAGAGUAACGGAGGAGCACGAAGGUUGGCUAAUCCUGGUCGGACAUCAGGAGGUUAGUGCAAUGGCAUAAGCCAGCUUGACUGCGAGCGUGACGGCGCGAGCAGGUGCGAAAGCAGGUCAUAGUGAUCCGGUGGUUCUGAAUGGAAGGGCCAUCGCUCAACGGAUAAAAGGUACUCCGGGGAUAACAGGCUGAUACCGCCCAAGAGUUCAUAUCGACGGCGGUGUUUGGCACCUCGAUGUCGGCUCAUCACAUCCUGGGGCUGAAGUAGGUCCCAAGGGUAUGGCUGUUCGCCAUUUAAAGUGGUACGCGAGCUGGGUUUAGAACGUCGUGAGACAGUUCGGUCCCUAUCUGCCGUGGGCGCUGGAGAACUGAGGGGGGCUGCUCCUAGUACGAGAGGACCGGAGUGGACGCAUCACUGGUGUUCGGGUUGUCAUGCCAAUGGCACUGCCCGGUAGCUAAAUGCGGA
This 1485-nucleotide ribosomal RNA is filed under the name Escherichia coli. Its description in RNAcentral is "partial 23S ribosomal RNA". It matches the Rfam family "Bacterial large subunit ribosomal RNA", at positions 1291 to 2759 of the family's 2925-position model. Lineage: Bacteria; Pseudomonadati; Pseudomonadota; Gammaproteobacteria; Enterobacterales; Enterobacteriaceae. The record is from RNAcentral.